This 63-nucleotide transfer RNA is filed under the name Rhinophis philippinus. RNAcentral's name for it is "tRNA-Lys". Lineage: Eukaryota; Metazoa; Chordata; Lepidosauria; Squamata; Uropeltidae. The record is from RNAcentral.
CAUUAAGAAGCUUUUAUAGUAUUAGCCUUUUAAGCUAAAGACAGAGACAAGUCUCCUUAAUGA